Molecule: long non-coding RNA, 1486 nt
Filed under: Anser cygnoides (Swan goose)
Lineage: Eukaryota; Metazoa; Chordata; Aves; Anseriformes; Anatidae
Description: lncRNA (ENSACDG00005017859.1)
Source: RNAcentral
AUGGCUGAAGAGGUGGGGAGCGGAACAGGACUCCAUCCCCCUGUGCCUGACAUCCUCCUUUUCCCGUCCAAUUCUGUGCCCCAGCCAUUAGUCUUUCCAGUUCGGACAGCCGCCACUCUGGAAGACCACUGGGCCUGUUCCACAUGGCAGCUGGAGAGGUCUCUGCUGUGCCUAAGCACCUCUCACAGCAUUUGCCUGCCUUGCUUUGCUGCAUUGUCCCAACAUGGAGGAAAACCCAGCAGCAGCGAUGUCCUUCAUCAUUCUGCACACACACACCCCUUCUGCUGCGUUGCACUGACUCUUACAGGGUGGAGUCAGUCCCACAGAUACCUCUGGACUCAAAGCAAGAUGAUGCUCUGGCUGUGGGGAAUGUGGCUGACAGUGAAGGAGGCUGCGGCUAUGGGAUCCAGAGCUGGCUUAGGAUUGUUACUCUCAGCAUCCCUACAAGGAAGGGAUGCUAAGGAUCUUCACAAGCUUAGACCUUGAGGUGUAUCACUCUGAUUUUUGCACACCAGGCUCUGCCUACUGCUUCUCCUCACUUUUAGAAGAUGAAGCUAUGUUACCUCCAGCGCUGAAACCAGCUGUCAGAGCUGGCAACACUAUUACCUGACUGAUAAUGUGCAGGCAGCACAUAAACAACUCCCAGAGAAGGUACUUCACACUCGUCCUUUUCCCAGGGCCCCCAAACACAUUGGCACUCCAGAGGAGCACCUCAGAAAGGAAAUAGCCACUUGGGAAAGGCCAACACAACACAGGCCCUCACUCUCAUCCUGGUAGGUGUGAACGAUAGCCAAGAGCGAUUGGGGUGUGCAGCUCAUGGAGAGGAAGCCCACAGUGCUGCAUAAAAAAUGCACUAAAGAUGCACUCAGCAGGCAGCCACCCCUGCCUGACAAGGAAACUCUGGGAGAGAGGGUGCCACGAUUGUGCUUUGUUGGGCUGCUCAGAAACAGGAUGAAGUGGAGAGGGCAAUAUGCUCAUUCCCAACACUGUGGCAGCUCUUCUAUCCAAGGGAGAGAGGCUGGGACCUAGCAAGGAAAACUUGUGGUUUUUUUUGACAAGAUGUUAAAGAGUCCCUAAGAAAAGUCUGUCACAGCUAACUGUGAGGAGGUGGAGGAUUUAGGAGGUGGUAAGUUUGUUCUGACUCUUAAGUAUUAAGGGCCUCUUAAGUAUUCAGAAGAACACUGCUAUCCAGAGGCUAGCAUCCUCUAUCCCAGCACACCAUAUGGCUGCACACACAAAGGGAGCUUCUCUUGGAACCAACCCUCCUGUGCUGCUCCCAGGCCCACUCUCACAUCCCUUUUAUUUCCUGUGCUUUUGCCUUCACCCUACGCUAUCUCCUAUUCAUGCCAAAGUAUCCAUGGCCUAUGCAAGUGGAAGCCUCUCGGUGUCUUUUCUAUGAACCCAGUGCUUUCUAAGCAAUAGAAACCCUAUUUUUGCACUCAACUCUCCUGAGGAAAGCAAGGAGGAUGUCUGAUGUUCUUCUACC